Molecule: ribosomal RNA, 670 nt
Filed under: uncultured archaeon
Lineage: Archaea
Description: bacterial SSU rRNA
Rfam family: Archaeal small subunit ribosomal RNA
Source: RNAcentral
CGUGGCUAACCUGCCCUUGGGACCAGAAUACCCCCGGGAAACUGGGGCUAAUUCACGAUAGGUGAAGAACUCUGGAAUGAGUCUUCACUUAAAAGAGGUUGCGUUAUGCUCGCAAUUUCGCCCAAGGAUGGGGCCGCGGCCGAUCAGGUUGUUGGUGAGGUAAUGGCUCACCAAGCCUUUUACCGGUGCGGGCCGUGGGAGCGGGAGCCCGGAGAUGGGCACUGAGACAAGGGCCCAGGCCCUACGGGGCGCAGCAGUCGCGAAAACUUUGCAAUAAGCGAAAGCUUGACAGGGCUAUCCCGAGUGCCAUCCGCUGAGGAAGGCUUUUACCCAGUCUAGAACGCUGGGGGAAUAAGGAGAGGGCAAGUCUGGUGUCAGCCGCCGCGGUAAUACCAGCUCUUCGAGUGGUGUGGAUGUUUAUUGGGCCUAAAGCAUCCGUAGCUGGCUAGGUAAGUCCCCUGUUAAAUCCACCGAAUUAAUCGUUGGAUUGCGGGGGAUACUGCUUGGCUAGGGGACGAGAGAGGCAGACGGUAUUUCCGGGGUAGGGGUGAAAUCCUAUAAUCCCGGGAAGACCACCAGUGGCGAAGGCUGUCUGCUAGAACGCGCCCGACGGUGAGGGAUGAAAGCUGGGGGAGCGAACCGGAUUAGAUACCCGGGUAGUCCCAGCUGU